This is a non-coding RNA of Podarcis lilfordi (Lilford's wall lizard), 1482 nucleotides long. The record is from the annotation of a GenBank genome assembly. NCBI's taxonomy places the organism in Eukaryota, Metazoa, Chordata, Lepidosauria, Squamata, Lacertidae.
GGCAAGGUGAUGUCUCUGCUUUGUUGGCAAUGUGAUGUCUCACAACCUUGUGAGGCAGGUUAGACUGAGAGGCAGAUGACUAGCCGAAGGUCACCCAAUGAGCUUCACGGCUGAGAGGGGAUUUGUACCACGAUCUCCUAGCUCCUAGUCUCACACUUUAAGAACUACAGUAAACCAAACUGGCCAGAGCAACCCAGCUGGAAUGGUGAUGGAUUUCUUUUCCACAUGAGGAUGAAUCAAGAGAAGUGCCAUCCGUGGGUUUGUGGUACAGAGCGAGCAACAUAAACUCUAAGAAGCUAUUGCAAUUUAAACGAGGGUAAAUCGUGCUGCUGUAACUUACUCCUUUUUCCAAAAACUCUGUUCAGCAGCAGGGCUAAAGCAGUAUCAUACCACUAUAAACAGUACUCUUUUUUGAUAAUAAUUUUUAUAAGUUUUCAAUUACAAUAACAGCCUCAUUAUAACAAUGCCAAAUUAUAAUACAAUUAGUAAUACCAAUCAUUCAGAUGCCAAAUUGUACAAUUUGGGUGCUCCACCCUACCCCACAUGCUAGAAUUGAUGGGUGGAUGAUUUACUUUAUUUCCACGUUCCAAAAUCUUAUAAAUUUCAGUUACACUCCAGUCAAAAUAACAAUCCCUUAUACCGCAACUGCAGUUUUAAUGACUUCCAUUCGUAUUGACACAUUCAAUGAUUUAUAAAGCUACAGGUGAAGCAUUCAAAGUCUCUCCUUGUUCUUCCUGUGUGUGGCAGUUAUUCUGUCCGUAAUGUUUCUUCCUGUCCUUGUAAUAUAUUACGUCUAUCUUUUGGCACUAUAAACAUUCCUGGCUUCUUCCAAAGAAUCCUGGAAACUGUAGUUUGUUAAGGGUGCUGAGAGUUCUUAGCAAACUCCUUAUUCCCUCUACUUCCCAGAUACAGUUCCCAGAGUUUCCUGAAAAGAGGGAUGGAUUGUUAAACUAUUCUGGGAAUUGAGGGGACACGAGUCUCCUUUCAGCACCCUUAACAAACUACAGUUUCCAGGAUUCUUUGGAGGAAUCUGUGGAUGUUUAAAGCGACUCGAUACUGCUUAAAAUGGAUAGCCCAGAUGGGGCCUAGAAGUCCAGGGAGUUCAAGAGAACUAGAAAGACCCCAAAGAAAAUUCAUUGGCUUUACAGCAAAGUAGAUCAGAUUUAAUUGUACCGAAGGUUUUGGCUUACACCAAGGCAAUGACACUGACCGGAGCUUAACAGAGCUCAGAACAGAACGCCGUGUGUGGAGAUUAAAGAAAAACAAAAGCAAAUGAAGGAUCCAUGAGACAUGACUCUGACUCUUCUUUUUUGCUUUGCAGUUGCUGCGAAUGAAAGGUUUGCGGCCAGAGGUUGUGCUGUGCCCAGCGUCUGCGAGCAUAGCAAGGGGAUGGCUGUUUUUGCUGGUGUUUACACUUACACACUGUCCACAGUCAGGGAAUGCUACGAAGCCCCUUCUGCGAAAAAUGCUGCCUGUCUACAC